RNAcentral lists this ribosomal RNA (1563 nucleotides) under Lactiplantibacillus plantarum. Its description in RNAcentral is "16S ribosomal RNA". It matches the Rfam family "Bacterial small subunit ribosomal RNA". RNAcentral also lists the same sequence under 2 other names. The record is from RNAcentral. Lineage: Bacteria; Bacillati; Bacillota; Bacilli; Lactobacillales; Lactobacillaceae.
UUUGAGAGUUUGAUCCUGGCUCAGGACGAACGCUGGCGGCGUGCCUAAUACAUGCAAGUCGAACGAACUCUGGUAUUGAUUGGUGCUUGCAUCAUGAUUUACAUUUGAGUGAGUGGCGAACUGGUGAGUAACACGUGGGAAACCUGCCCAGAAGCGGGGGAUAACACCUGGAAACAGAUGCUAAUACCGCAUAACAACUUGGACCGCAUGGUCCGAGCUUGAAAGAUGGCUUCGGCUAUCACUUUUGGAUGGUCCCGCGGCGUAUUAGCUAGAUGGUGGGGUAACGGCUCACCAUGGCAAUGAUACGUAGCCGACCUGAGAGGGUAAUCGGCCACAUUGGGACUGAGACACGGCCCAAACUCCUACGGGAGGCAGCAGUAGGGAAUCUUCCACAAUGGACGAAAGUCUGAUGGAGCAACGCCGCGUGAGUGAAGAAGGGUUUCGGCUCGUAAAACUCUGUUGUUAAAGAAGAACAUAUCUGAGAGUAACUGUUCAGGUAUUGACGGUAUUUAACCAGAAAGCCACGGCUAACUACGUGCCAGCAGCCGCGGUAAUACGUAGGUGGCAAGCGUUGUCCGGAUUUAUUGGGCGUAAAGCGAGCGCAGGCGGUUUUUUAAGUCUGAUGUGAAAGCCUUCGGCUCAACCGAAGAAGUGCAUCGGAAACUGGGAAACUUGAGUGCAGAAGAGGACAGUGGAACUCCAUGUGUAGCGGUGAAAUGCGUAGAUAUAUGGAAGAACACCAGUGGCGAAGGCGGCUGUCUGGUCUGUAACUGACGCUGAGGCUCGAAAGUAUGGGUAGCAAACAGGAUUAGAUACCCUGGUAGUCCAUACCGUAAACGAUGAAUGCUAAGUGUUGGAGGGUUUCCGCCCUUCAGUGCUGCAGCUAACGCAUUAAGCAUUCCGCCUGGGGAGUACGGCCGCAAGGCUGAAACUCAAAGGAAUUGACGGGGGCCCGCACAAGCGGUGGAGCAUGUGGUUUAAUUCGAAGCUACGCGAAGAACCUUACCAGGUCUUGACAUACUAUGCAAAUCUAAGAGAUUAGACGUUCCCUUCGGGGACAUGGAUACAGGUGGUGCAUGGUUGUCGUCAGCUCGUGUCGUGAGAUGUUGGGUUAAGUCCCGCAACGAGCGCAACCCUUAUUAUCAGUUGCCAGCAUUAAGUUGGGCACUCUGGUGAGACUGCCGGUGACAAACCGGAGGAAGGUGGGGAUGACGUCAAAUCAUCAUGCCCCUUAUGACCUGGGCUACACACGUGCUACAAUGGAUGGUACAACGAGUUGCGAACUCGCGAGAGUAAGCUAAUCUCUUAAAGCCAUUCUCAGUUCGGAUUGUAGGCUGCAACUCGCCUACAUGAAGUCGGAAUCGCUAGUAAUCGCGGAUCAGCAUGCCGCGGUGAAUACGUUCCCGGGCCUUGUACACACCGCCCGUCACACCAUGAGAGUUUGUAACACCCAAAGUCGGUGGGGUAACCUUUUAGGAACCAGCCGCCUAAGGUGGGACAGAUGAUUAGGGUGAAGUCGUAACAAGGUAGCCGUAGGAGAACCUGCGGCUGGAUCACCUCCUU